UACGUAGGGGGCGAGCGUUGUCCGGAAUCAUUGGGCGUAAAGCGCGCGCAGGCGGCCGCGAGAGCCCGGCGUGAAAGCCCCCGGCUCAACCGGGGGAGGCCGUCGGGGACCUCGUGGCUGGAGGCCGGCAGGGGUGAGUGGAAUUCCCGGUGUAGUGGUGGAAUGCGUAGAGAUCGGGAGGAACACCAGUGGCGAAGGCGACUACCUGGCCUGUUCUUGACGCUGAGGCGCGAAAGCUAGGGGAGCAAACGGG
RNAcentral lists this ribosomal RNA (253 nucleotides) under uncultured bacterium. Its description in RNAcentral is "partial 16S ribosomal RNA". It matches the Rfam family "Bacterial small subunit ribosomal RNA", at positions 524 to 776 of the family's 1533-position model. The record is from RNAcentral.